RNAcentral lists this ribosomal RNA (91 nucleotides) under Bryonia alba. Its description in RNAcentral is "partial 25S ribosomal RNA". It matches the Rfam family "Eukaryotic large subunit ribosomal RNA", at positions 1 to 92 of the family's 3401-position model. Lineage: Eukaryota; Viridiplantae; Streptophyta; Magnoliopsida; Cucurbitales; Cucurbitaceae. The record is from RNAcentral.
GACCCCAGGUCAGGCGGGACUACCCGCUGAGUUUAAGCAUAUCAAUAAGCAGAGGAAAAGAAACUUACAAGGAUUCCCCUAGUAACGGCGA